This 130-nucleotide signal recognition particle RNA is filed under the name Anaerolineae bacterium. Its description in RNAcentral is "partial signal recognition particle sRNA large type". It matches the Rfam family "Bacterial large signal recognition particle RNA", at positions 133 to 256 of the family's 256-position model. From Rfam's summary of the family: The signal recognition particle (SRP) is a universally conserved ribonucleoprotein involved in the co-translational targeting of proteins to membranes. The record is from RNAcentral. Lineage: Bacteria; Bacillati; Chloroflexota; Anaerolineae.
GAUCCACGAACCCCGUCAGGUCCGGAAGGAAGCAGCGGUAAGUGGCCUACUCUGGGUGCCGCAGGGGCUCCUGGCUGGAGCAAGCUGACCGGAGUAAGCCGGGGCAGUCGUGUCGAAGGAGGGUGCACGA